This 693-nucleotide long non-coding RNA is filed under the name Chinchilla lanigera (long-tailed chinchilla). RNAcentral's name for it is "lncRNA (ENSCLAG00000026698.1)". Lineage: Eukaryota; Metazoa; Chordata; Mammalia; Rodentia; Chinchillidae. The record is from RNAcentral.
UGACGAUAUUGCUGAAAACCAAGACUCAAGGCAUAGAGGCAGAAACUUUGUUAGACAGUUUGAAACAUGUGUUCAUGGCUCUCAGAGCCAAAGGAUCUGAGUUUGAUUUUUUUUUCACUGCUUUUACAUGUACUGAAAGAGAUUAUAGAAAGUACUUGUGAAUGUCCAUUUCAAUGAGAACGGUUCAAUAUUGUCCAACGGACACAUUACUAUCAACAAUGAUUCCAGGUAGCAAUAUCUUCAAAAUCAUUUAUAAAUCCAGCAACUUCAUGGUGAUUUAUGCAAUCUAUAUGGAGGGGGAACACUCUCUGGAUCACACACGUCUCACUUUGGCACUUGGGACUGGAAGAAGUAUGAGUGAGGAAGAGAGGGAGAAAUAUGAAGAACUCACUGCCUUGUGCAACAUUUCACCGCAAAACAUAAGAUACCUCACCGAAGCAGAUACCUGUCCUGAUUAAGGCCAUAGCGAUGAUGAGGAAGAACCAGGAAUAUUUUUAUCAUCAUCUUCUCCGUGGCAUCAAGAUCAUCAAUGUGAAGAGCAGAUAAGCUCUGUCUUUCCUGAGAUACCAUGAACCCUGCCUAACAGCUUUUCUUCCCAAGCUCACCUAUGUCCUACUUCAUGUUUCUCUUUUUCAUAGUUGAUUAAAUAAACCGAAAUAGGUACACAUGUGUCUCUGAAGAAAGGUACUAAAU